This 468-nucleotide ribosomal RNA is filed under the name uncultured bacterium. RNAcentral's name for it is "partial 16S ribosomal RNA". It matches the Rfam family "Bacterial small subunit ribosomal RNA", at positions 28 to 507 of the family's 1533-position model. The record is from RNAcentral.
GACGAACGCUGGCGGCGUGCUUAACACAUGCAAGUCGAACGGAAAGGCCCUGCUUUUUUGGGGUGCUCGAGUGGCGACCGGGUGAGUUACACGUUAGUAACCUUCCCUUGACUUUGGGAUAACUUCAGGCCACUUGGGCUAUUACCGGAUAGGAUCUCCUGCUGCUUGGUGGGGGUUGGUAAGUUUCGGCGGUUGGGGAUGUACUCGCGGCUUAUCAUCUUGUUGGUGGGGUAGGUGCUUACCAAGGCUUUGACGGGUAGCCGGCCUGAGAGGGUGACCGGGCACAUGGGGACUGAGAUACGGGACAGACGACAAAGGGAGGCAGCAGAGGGGAAGAGUACAAAAGGGGAGGAAGCAUGAUGCAGCAAAGCAGCGUGCGGGAUGACGGCCUUCGGGUUGUAAACCGAAUUAGCCUGAGACGAAGCGAGAGUGACGGUAAUGGGUAAAGAAGCACCGGCUAACUACGUG